Molecule: ribosomal RNA, 404 nt
Filed under: uncultured prokaryote
Description: bacterial SSU rRNA
Rfam family: Bacterial small subunit ribosomal RNA
Source: RNAcentral
UGGGGAAUAUUGCACAAUGGGGGAAACCCUGAUGCAGCAACGCCGCGUGAGUGAUGACGACCUUCGGGUUGUAAAGCUCUGUCUUCAGGGACGAUAAUGACGGUACCUGGAGAACAAGCCACGGCUAACUACGUGCCAGCAGCCGCGGUAAUACGUAGGUGGCAAGCGUUAUCCGGAUUUACUGGGUGUAAAGGGCGUGUAGGCGGGUUGGCAAGUCGGGUGUGAAAUUCAUAGGCUUAACCUAUGACGGUCAUCCGAAACUGCCGAUCUUGAGUGUCGGAGAGGAAAGUGGAAUUCCUAGUGUAGCGGUAAAAUGCGUAGAUAUUAGGAGGAACAUCAGUGGCGAAGGCGACUUUCUGGACGAUAACUGACGCUGAGGCUCGAAAGCGUGGGGAGCAAACAGG